Molecule: unclassified non-coding RNA, 203 nt
Filed under: Hevea brasiliensis (rubber tree)
Lineage: Eukaryota; Viridiplantae; Streptophyta; Magnoliopsida; Malpighiales; Euphorbiaceae
Source: RNAcentral
AACAUAUAAUCAGUUUGAAUUAAUUUAAAUCCAAGAUUAUCCCAAUCAAAAAUAUCCCUUGAUUCAUAAUCCCUAUAAGUUGAAGGUUGUGCAGAAGUUAGAGCAGGGGCAGUAAAGUACCUUGGUCCUACCUUCUUCUCAAAAGAAGUAAAUAGAGCCCUUUGAAAGGAUGAAGCCCUUUGGAUGAUCAUGUUGCACAAGAA